UACAGAGGGGGCAAGCGUUGUUCGGAAUUACUGGGCGUAAAGGGCGCGUAGGCGGCCCGCUAAGUCGAACGUGAAAUCCCCGAGCUCAACUCGGGAACUGCGUCCGAUACUGGCGGGCUUGAAUCCGGGAGAGGGAUGCGGAAUUCCAGGUGUAGCGGUGAAAUGCGUAGAUAUCUGGAGGAACACCGGUGGCGAAGGCGGCUAUCUGGACCGACAUUGACGCUGAGGCGCGAAAGCGUGGGGAGCAAACAGG
Molecule: ribosomal RNA, 253 nt
Filed under: uncultured bacterium
Lineage: Bacteria
Description: partial 16S ribosomal RNA
Rfam family: Bacterial small subunit ribosomal RNA
Source: RNAcentral